This is a long non-coding RNA of Wasmannia auropunctata (little fire ant), 294 nucleotides long. RefSeq lists it as uncharacterized. The transcript has 3 exons. Lineage: Eukaryota; Metazoa; Arthropoda; Insecta; Hymenoptera; Formicidae. The record is from RefSeq and is a predicted model, not a curated record.
AUUGCAGAUUCGGCAUUUGGCUAUCUGGCUAUUAACCGGGUAUAAUUUGUUAUUUUGUGAUAUUUUUCAUUGUAAUCAAAAUGUAUUUUGUUGUCUUUUGGGAUGAAUGGUGUGCUACAAUACCAGCUUCUUGGCUUAGCCUAAAGACUAAAAAUUUCAGAUGGCCACCCAAAAAUAAGAAUCCUUCUACAGAAAGUAGAAAAGGAGCAAAGCCUCAAGAAAACUGGACAUCAGUUCCAUAUUCAAAAUUCUUAGGACCUUUUGACUUUUGAAGAAGCCCGAGAAGUGGAAAAU